This 23-nucleotide non-coding RNA is filed under the name Arabidopsis thaliana (thale cress). The record is from RNAcentral. Lineage: Eukaryota; Viridiplantae; Streptophyta; Magnoliopsida; Brassicales; Brassicaceae.
GUUGAAUCUCCAUCUUUGGCGCC